UACGUAGGGGGGCUAGCGUUGUCCGGAUUUAUUGGGCGUAAAGAGCGUGUAGGCGGCCAGGUAGGUCUGGUGUGAAAACUCGAGGCUUAACCUCGAGAUGUCAUCGGAAACCAUCUGGGCUAGAGUCCGGAAGAGGAGAGUGGAAUUCCUGGUGUAGCGGUGAAAUGCGCAGAUAUCAGGAAGAACACCAAUGGCGAAAGCAGCUCUCUGGGACGGUACUGACGCUGAGACGCGAAAGCGUGGGAGCGAACAGG
Molecule: ribosomal RNA, 254 nt
Filed under: uncultured bacterium
Lineage: Bacteria
Description: partial 16S ribosomal RNA
Rfam family: Bacterial small subunit ribosomal RNA
Source: RNAcentral